AUGCCGGGUCGCAUAAAAAUUGAAUUUAAUGAUUCGCUAAAAUUUAAUGGAACAAUAACGCUCGGCAUUAGUGUAAUACGUCGGAUAUGAAAAAAAUAAAAAUAAAAAUUUGGUAAUAUCUCUACCGGCGCUGCUGUGUCGUCGAAGCUGCACCUCACCGGCGUCCGCGAUUCGAAAUAAUACGUCGUCUUGGUCUCAGACCGCGCCACGCUGCUGUCUCUGUGCCCGCGUUGGCGCGUUAUCUUCGCGGCAGUGUCGAAACAUACUUCGCCGCCGUCGUCGUAAUAAAAUAGAAAAUCGAAUAGCUCGGAGUUGGUGUAUGACCGUACGGGCACGAACAGGAUUUUUUUUUUAUUUCGGCGAGGAGGGGUGGCAAAAUUUUACAAAUGCCUCAGUCCUUUAAUUUUUAUUAUUUUUAUUGACGUCAAACGUUAACAUAAAUAUAUACGUUAAAAAUACUAAUAUAAUUUUACCAAAUUACUAAAUUACAUAGUCUUAAGAGAGUAUAUCAGCAAAUUAUUUUCAGAACAUUAUUGCAGCCUAUAUAUAU
RNAcentral lists this long non-coding RNA (550 nucleotides) under Rhopalosiphum maidis (corn leaf aphid). RNAcentral's name for it is "uncharacterized LOC113548000, transcript variant X2". The record is from RNAcentral. Lineage: Eukaryota; Metazoa; Arthropoda; Insecta; Hemiptera; Aphididae.